This 253-nucleotide ribosomal RNA is filed under the name uncultured bacterium. RNAcentral's name for it is "partial 16S ribosomal RNA". It matches the Rfam family "Bacterial small subunit ribosomal RNA", at positions 524 to 776 of the family's 1533-position model. The record is from RNAcentral.
GACAGAGGGUGCAAGCGUUGUUCGGAAUUACUGGGCGUAAAGCGCGUGUAGGCGGUCUUGUAAGUUCUGUGUGAAAGCCCUGGGCUCAACCCAGGAAGUGCGCAGAAUACUGCAAGACUGGAGUGACGGAGAGGAUGGCGGAAUUCCUGGUGUAGAGGUGAAAUUCGUAGAUAUCGGGAGGAACACCAACGGCGAAGGCAGCUCGCUGGGACGGUACUGACACUGAGGCGCGAAAGCGUGGGGAGCGAACAGG